This 239-nucleotide ribosomal RNA is filed under the name uncultured bacterium. RNAcentral describes it as "partial 16S ribosomal RNA". It matches the Rfam family "Bacterial small subunit ribosomal RNA", at positions 524 to 761 of the family's 1533-position model. The record is from RNAcentral.
UACGAAGGGGGCUAGCGUUGUUCGGAAUCACUGGGCGUAAAGCGCACGUAGGCGGAUUGUUAAGUCGGGGGUGAAAUCCUGAGGCUCAACCUCAGAACUGCCUUCGAUACUGGCAAUCUCGAGUCCGGAAGAGGUUGGUGGAACAGCUAGUGUAGAGGUGAAAUUCGUAGAUAUUAGCUAGAACACCAGUGGCGAAGGCGGCCAACUGGUCCGGUACUGACGCUGAGGUGCCGAAAGCG